UACGUAGGGUGCAAGCGUUGUCCGGAAUCAUUGGGCGUAAAGCGCACGUAGGCGGAUUGUUAAGUCAGGGGUGAAAUCCUGGAGCUCAACUCCAGAACUGCCUUUGAUACUGGCGAUCUCGAGUCCGGGAGAGGUGAGUGGAACUGCGAGUGUAGAGGUGAAAUUCGUAGAUAUUCGCAAGAACACCAGUGGCGAAGGCGGCUCACUGGCCCGGUACUGACGCUGAGGUGCGAAAGCGUGGGGAGCAAACAGG
This 253-nucleotide ribosomal RNA is filed under the name uncultured bacterium. RNAcentral's name for it is "partial 16S ribosomal RNA". It matches the Rfam family "Bacterial small subunit ribosomal RNA", at positions 524 to 776 of the family's 1533-position model. The record is from RNAcentral.